Molecule: ribosomal RNA, 347 nt
Filed under: uncultured bacterium
Lineage: Bacteria
Description: partial 16S ribosomal RNA
Rfam family: Bacterial small subunit ribosomal RNA
Source: RNAcentral
CCUACGGGUGGCAGCAGUGAGGAAUAUUGGUCAAUGGACGAGAGUCUGAACCAGCCAAGUAGCGUGAAGGAUGACUGCCCUAUGGGUUGUAAACUUCUUUUAUAGGGGAAUAAAAUGGGCCACGUGUGGGAGGAUGUAGGGACCAGAUGAAAAAGGAACGGCUAACUCCGUGCCAGCAGCCGCGGUAAUACGGAGGAUCCGAGCGUUAUCCGGAUUUAGUGGGUUUAAAGGGAGCGUAGGUGGAUUGUUUAGUCUGUUGUUAAAGUUUGCGGCUCAACCGUAAAAUUGCAGUUGAAACUGGCAGUCUUGCGUACAGUAGAGUUGUGCGGCAUUCGUGGUGUAGCGGU